This is a long non-coding RNA of Penaeus monodon (black tiger shrimp), 225 nucleotides long. RefSeq lists it as uncharacterized. Lineage: Eukaryota; Metazoa; Arthropoda; Malacostraca; Decapoda; Penaeidae. The record is from RefSeq and is a predicted model, not a curated record. The transcript has 3 exons.
GGUCCACCUUGAGAUCCUGUGUUGGAGAACAAUUUAGUCAUGUUGGAAACACAGGAGCCAGCCCCACUGUUGCUAUGCUUGAUCUCCAGCGCUUGGUGUAUAUCUGUUGUGCUUGUCUGCGUCUACUAAGGAUCUAUAUCAAUGAAGUCUAUCCAAAUUCAGUGCGAACAUUGAGAGCCAAUGGCGAGAAAGGCUGCCUAGCAGAGAGUGUAGCAGAUGUCAGAG